UACGAAGGGUGCAAACGUUGCUCGGAAUUAUUGGGCGUAAAGCGCACGUAGGCGGCUUGGCAAGUCGGAUGUGAAAUCCCUCGGCUCAACCAAGGAAGUGCAUCCGAAACUGCUGAGCUUGAGUACUUAAGAGGAUCGCGGAAUUCCCGGUGUAGAGGUGAAAUGCGUAGAUAUCCGGAGGAAUACCAAAGGCGAAGGCAGUGUCCUGGGGAGUGUCUGACGCUCAGGCGCGAAAGCUAGGGGAGCGAACAGG
This 253-nucleotide ribosomal RNA is filed under the name uncultured bacterium. RNAcentral describes it as "partial 16S ribosomal RNA". It matches the Rfam family "Bacterial small subunit ribosomal RNA", at positions 524 to 776 of the family's 1533-position model. The record is from RNAcentral.